This 462-nucleotide ribosomal RNA is filed under the name uncultured bacterium. RNAcentral describes it as "partial 16S ribosomal RNA". It matches the Rfam family "Bacterial small subunit ribosomal RNA", at positions 32 to 507 of the family's 1533-position model. The record is from RNAcentral.
AACCAACGCUGGCGGCGUGCCUAAUACAUGCAAGUCGAACGGGGAAAGCUUUCGGGUGAGUACUAGUGGCGCACGGGUGAGGAACGCGUGGAUAAUCUGCCUUAGAGUGGGGGAUAACUAGUCGAAAGAUUAGCUAAUACCGCAUAAGACCACGAGAGCUGCGGCUUUUGAGGUCAAAGGUUUUUCGCUCUAAGAUGAGUCCGCGUAAGAUUAGCUAGUUGGUGAGGUAACGGCUCACCAAGGCGACGAUCUUUAACUGGUCUGAGAGGAUGAUCAGUCACACUGGAACUGAGACACGGUCCAGACUCCUACGGGAGGCAGCAGUAGGGAAUAUUGCACAAUGGAGGAAACUCUGAUGCAGCGACGCCGCGUGAGGGAUGAAGGCCUUCGGGUCGUAAAGCUCUGUCGCAGGGGAAUAACACAAUGAAGGUACCCUGUAAGAAAGGAUCGGCUAACUUCGUG